GACGAACGCUGGCGGCGUGCUUAACACAUGCAAGUAGAACGGAGUGGCGAACGGGUGAGUAACACGUGGGUGACCUGCCCUGCACUUCGGGAUAAGCCUGGGCAACUGGGUCUAAUACCGGAUAGUGUGGGAUGGGCCCGCGGCAUAUCAGCUUGUUGGUGGGGUAAUGGCCUACCAAGGCGGCGACGGGUAGCCGGCCUGAGAGGGUGGACGGUCACAUUGGGACUGGAUCACUGACCAGACUAUCACGUGAGGUAGCAGUGGGUAAUAUUGCUCAAGGGGCGGAAGCGUGAUGAAGAGAUGCCGCGUGGGCGAUGAAGGCCUUCGGGUUGUAAACCCCUUUCACCAGAGAUGCGGAUGAGGAAGAACAAGCACCGGCUAACUACGUGCCAGCAGCCGCGGUAAUAC
RNAcentral lists this ribosomal RNA (408 nucleotides) under uncultured bacterium. RNAcentral describes it as "partial 16S ribosomal RNA". It matches the Rfam family "Bacterial small subunit ribosomal RNA", at positions 28 to 526 of the family's 1533-position model. The record is from RNAcentral.